CGCGGAAGGAAGGGAGGGAGAGAGCGCUCGCUCUGGGGACUGGCCUUUGCUGUGUAAACUGUUAAAGGCUGAGCUAGGAGCCCUGCGAGAUGCAGAAACAUUGUCUUAUGGGCAGCUGCAUCUUCAGAAUUCCUCAGGGAUAAGGUGAACUAAAGAUGUAUUUCCAAGAAUUCAAGGGUACUAUGAAGAAAGAUCCAUCCAUGGAUGCAAAUAUGAAUUAACCUAUGAUGCCAUUAUACUCUCCGACUGCAGCUGUAACUUCAACUUGCCAAUGUACACCAUUGCUCACAAGAGGACCAGAUGAGAGAGUGUGAAUGAAUUUAUUGCCAACCCUUUCCUACUCCCAAAACAAAACAAUUUUGUAGAUUUGUUAUUGAUGGGCCAUAGCACCAUCUUCAUAUACAAAUGACAACAUUUCAUAUGGCAUUAUUUUCAGUAUAAAUGAUAACAGAGAUCAUGGGGAGACUGUACAAAUUAUCUUGGGCUACUGUCUUAUUUAUAGAUUAAAGUACAGUUAUGUUUUCCACUGA
Molecule: long non-coding RNA, 530 nt
Organism: Balaenoptera acutorostrata (minke whale)
Lineage: Eukaryota; Metazoa; Chordata; Mammalia; Artiodactyla; Balaenopteridae
Exons: 4
Source: RefSeq, a predicted model, not a curated record